This 1225-nucleotide long non-coding RNA is filed under the name Danio rerio (zebrafish). Its description in RNAcentral is "lncRNA si:ch211-200p22.5 (ENSDARG00000105524.2)". The record is from RNAcentral. Lineage: Eukaryota; Metazoa; Chordata; Actinopteri; Cypriniformes; Danionidae.
CAGAAGAACAGCUGAGGCGUGUUUUUCCCGCCGUUUCUAAUCAUGAAACGGAAGGCUCAAUGAUUGUGAAAGGUUUAACUUAAUUGCACGUUAUUGUUUGCAACAGUAUUGGGGGCGAGAGAAGAGCACGCGCUAAUGAGAGAGAGAGAGAGAGAGAGAGAGAGAGAGAGAGAGAGAGAGAGAGAGAGAGAGAGAGAGAGAGAGAGAGAGAGAGCUUUUCACACAUACGGUGCUGUAGAAAAAGUGCUAUAUUCCUGCCUUGCGCAAUAAUUUCAGGUCUGAGAGCUGAACCCCCAGCGGACGCAUUGAUCCUUUUACAGGUAUGCUGUAGUCUGUGGGACGUGAAUUGGAGAGCCUUCGACACACAAGACGCGACAGUGUCACAGCGGCUUAAUCCUCAUUACAGACUAAUCAAAGGGAAUUCCUGGAAAGUGCAGCACUCAGGAUGUCUACAGGUUAUGACUAUCCGGACCAGAUCACAUUUAAAAAAAGCGGGAAAGGGGCGGUGUGAGAUUGUUUUUCCUCAAUCAAGUUUGAGCAGAUAUUUUGGAUGUAACCAGACAAGCGCUAAACACCAAAAUGCUGUGGAUGAGGACAGAAUUGCUGUUUUUCUUUGUAUUCCCACUGAAUGCAGCGCAGAACUCUGAAUUACCCGCAGUAAUGGACAGUGACAUGUUCACCGAAUUUGCAUACCAAACCUCAUCCUUGAGUCUGAUCCUGUUGGUUCUAACGGUUGGACUGUCUGGCAGUGUUUACCUCUGUGUGCUGCGCUACAUCUGCACCGGCUGCUGCCAGCCUGUAGUCGUUGGACCUGAGGAUGAGAGCAUAUCAGGAGUGGUGUGACUGCUGCUUUCCUUUCGUUUCUGUGUGUCUUUACUGAUGUGCAGGUUAGCUUGUGUAAUACAGCAUGAAGCCAUUCUUUUUCCUUUCAAGCAAUUGAGCUGAAAGCGACAUUCCACGUGUGUUAGUCACUCUGGAUAAAAGCGUCCGCUCACUGUAAGAUUUACAGUUCUAGAGCUCGACUGUAUAUCAAAAGCAUUCAUUUACUCUCUAUGAAGUCAUUUAGCUGUAUGGAUGACGCAAAUGUUGAGUGAAUGAGAGGGUGGCAUGAAUAAAUAUAGCAAGCAUUGAAUGCUCAUUCAGUCUAGAGAAAUCCAUAUGACAGAAUCGACUGUACCACUGUAUUUUGAAGAGCUUUUUUAUUAACAUAUUUAAUAGUUUAUUG